GAUGAACGCUGGCGGCGUGCCUAAUACAUGCAAGUCGAACGCACAGCCAAAAGUGCUUGUACCCUUCAAUUAGCUGGCGAACGGUUGAUUAACCCUUGAUCAACUUGCUAUAAGACUGGGGUAAAUUCUUGGAAACAGAUCUAAUACCGGAUUAUAUCUUAAAGCGCCAUGUUCCAAAGUUAAAAACCGUUUUGCUGUCACUUAGAGAUGGAUCCGCGCUGCAUUAGCUAGUUGGUGAGGUAAAGGCUUACCAAGACAAUGAUGCAUAGCCGAGUUGAGAGACUGAUCGGCCACACUGGAACUGAGACACGGCCCAGACUCCUACGGGAGGCAGCAGUAGGGAAUCUUCCACAAUGGGCGAAAGCCUGAUGGAGCAACGCCGCGUGAGUGAUGAAGGCCUUCGGAUCGUAAAACUCUGUUAUAAGGGAAGAACAGCUGGGAAAGGAAAUGAGUAUAGUUUGACGGUACCAAAUCAGAAAGGGACGGCUAAAUACGUG
Molecule: ribosomal RNA, 497 nt
Filed under: uncultured bacterium
Lineage: Bacteria
Description: partial 16S ribosomal RNA
Rfam family: Bacterial small subunit ribosomal RNA
Source: RNAcentral